AGCAGCCGCGGUAAUUCCAGCUCCAAUAGCGUAUAUUAAAGUUGUUGCAGUUAAAAAGCUCGUAGUUGAAUUUCGGGAUCAGUACGCUGGUCGUGCCUUUGGUAUGUACUGGUGUCACUGAUUCCUCCCUUCUGAAGAACCGUUAUGCCAUUUAUUUGGUGUGGCGGGGAAUCAGGACUGUUACUUUGAAAAAAUUAGAGUGUUUAAAGCAGGCUCGCGCUUGAAUACAUUAGCAUGGAAUAAUGAAAUAGGACGUUUGAUCUUAUUUUGUUGGUUUCUAGGAUCGACGUAAUGAUUAAUAGGGAUAGUUGGGGGCAUUAGUAUUCAAUUGUCAGAGGUGAAAUUCUUGGAUUUAUUGAAGACUAACUACUGCGAAAGCAUUUGCCAAGGAUGUUUUCAUUAAUCAAGAACGAAAGUUAGGGGAUCGAAGACGAUCAGAUACCGUCGUAGUCUUAACCAUAAACUAUGCCGACUAGGGAUCGGAUGAUGUUAUUUUUAAUGA
Molecule: ribosomal RNA, 502 nt
Filed under: uncultured Glomus
Lineage: Eukaryota; Fungi; Glomeromycota; Glomeromycetes; Glomerales; Glomeraceae
Description: SSU rRNA
Rfam family: Eukaryotic small subunit ribosomal RNA
Source: RNAcentral